AAUUCUUUUCCAUUUAGGAGAAACAACUAUGCAUGUGCGGAGGGAAGCAGUUCCAAUGUGUACAUAAAACACAUGCAUGUUUCCUAGAAUGGCUGGUUUUGGAAAUUACCAUCUUGGACAAGAUGCCAGUACUUUGGAGCAGCUGUUCCAGAAAGUCUUGAAACACAUAUCAAAGGAAUCACCCUCUUCAAAACAUACCUGUUGAAACAUCAUCCUCUUGAACCGUCCACCCAGGCAAACUACACAGAAUUGAUACCUGGCCAGAGACCCUGCAGCGACAAUUAUAGAAGAUGAAUGGUGCUCCCCCCACCUCGGUAAUGUCUCAGUAUCUUAAAAACAAUUGAUAUUUUAAAAGUUCCACAAACAUGAUUCUUUGCCAUAAAGUCACAUGUAAAAGUAAGGGGUCAAAGAGACUGCAAAGAGAACAAACCUAUCAAUUCUAAAGGAAAUCAACCCCGAGUGCUCAUUGGAAGGACAGAUCCUGAAGCUGAGGCUCCAGUACUUUGGCCAUCUCAUGAGAAGAGAAGACUCCUUGGAAAAGACUUUUGGGAAAGUAAA
This 558-nucleotide long non-coding RNA is filed under the name Pogona vitticeps (central bearded dragon). Its description in RNAcentral is "lncRNA (ENSPVIG00000022535.1)". The record is from RNAcentral. Lineage: Eukaryota; Metazoa; Chordata; Lepidosauria; Squamata; Agamidae.